AAACUCUCAAUACCAUGGUUUGAGUAAUGCAAGUGGAUUCCUUGAACAUGCCUUCAUUGAGAAGCUUCUGUUUUGGGUGUUUUAUGAAUGUCCAAAAGGUAGCUAUUUAUUUGCUUAUAAUCGUCUGAUAAGUGCUAAUAUUAGACUUCCAAAAACAAAAGUUGUGAAUAUAUUUAUUUAACUGUACAAGUUUUUUCCAUUUAUAAUCACAGCUAUGGUUUUAACUAUUAUAUGAUAUGAUAUGAUGCACAGGGGCAACAACAUAAUCUUUUAUCUCUCUUUUGUUGCAUUAAACUUACACUUUUAUUGGGUUUGACCUAUUUUUUUUAUUAGAUUAGGGAUUCUGUUAUGGAAUACUAUAAUUGUAGGUUGUUUCUGCCUUUUUAAUUUUCAUGAACACAAACUAAUGUUUUACUCUUUUUACAGGAUGUUGCCCUGAAACCAUGGUGGGCCCCUUUAAACCCAACCUCAUCUCGAAACCAACAUCUCCAAAGGUUAAUUUCUUGAAACCAAUUACAUCAAUAUUUAUCCAAAUAUAUAGAAACCAAUUUUGAUAAGACUUAUUAGUUUUCUAUUCAAGAAAAAAGAUUGCACUGUUGCAUUGUGUUUUCAGUUUUUCCCUUAUUAAAGUUAUGCUUCCAGAACUCUUAUUUAUUACAACAUUUUAAUUUAGAAAAGUUUACCCAUUACAUUGAUUAUGUACGGCUUUUGACUUAUGUUUUGUGGUAUGUGUUUGUAUGAGCUGUCAUCACAUGUUAUGGGAAAGACAAAGAAGAAAUUUUCUUUUACCAAUUAUAUUCAUAUUAAGUCUAAGGUAUGUCAUUUCCUGAUGCUGUUAUUCUUUUUCAAUUUCAAUUUUCUUUUACCAAUUCUGUGAUACUAAACAUGUGUAUAUUUCCACUUUUAUAGUGGGGAUCCAGAAAUAGCAAAAUGCUUUCAUUUCAUACUCCAGGUAUGUUUACCACCAAAUCACUCUAUAUUUUGUUGUGUGUCAUAAAUUCAGUGUUCAUGUUCAUGUCCUGCUCCUCUUAUUCUUUUACAAUUAGCAUGGUGCUUUAAUUUUAUUUUGAAAAAACUUCCCAUUAAAUCAUUGUACAUUCAAAAAACAUCCAUUUUGCAUUGAAUUCUCAUAAAUCAUCCUAUUUUUAGCAUCCUACUUUCACUUUUCUUUAUCUAACAUCAAUGAAACAUCAAGCUUCUCUUUUUCUCAUCUAUGCAUUUUACUUUGAAAAAUUUCCAAUUAAAACAUUCUACAUUCAUUAACGUCCAUUUUAUGUUGAGUUUUCAAAAUAUCAUCCCAUUUUUAGCAUUGUAUUUUUAACUUUUCUUUCUAUUACAUCAUUGAAACAUCAAACUUUUUUGUUCAUCUAUGCAUUCUGUUUUCACUUUUCUUUCUAUAAACAUCACUGAAAUGUCAAACUUCACUUUUCUCAUCUAUGCAUUUUACUUCGAAAAAAAAUUACAAUUAAAACCUUGUACUUUAAAAACUUCUAUUUUACAUUAAAUCUUCAAAAAUCAUCUCAUUUUUAGCAUUGCACUUUAACUUGUUUAUUUAUGUAAUAUCUUUGAAACAUUAAACUUCUUAUUUCUCAUCUAUGCAUUUUAUUUUGAAAAAACUUUCAAUCAAAGCAUUUUAUUUUCAAAAUUUUUUAUUUAACAUUCGAUUUUCAAAAAAUCAUUCCUUUUUUAGUAUUUUACUUUAACUUUUUUUUUUUUAUAUGUAACAUCAUUGAUACAUCAAUUUUUUCUUUUUCUCAUCUACGCAUUUUACUUUUAAAAAGCUUCCAAUUACAGCAUUCUAUUUUCAAAAUUGUCCCAUAUACAUUGAAUUUUACAAAAUCAUCCCGCUUUUAAUAUAAUACUUCACAUUUUUUCGUUCAGUAGCUUUAUUAAAAAUCAUAUUUUUUUUUCUCAUCUAUGUGUUUUACUUUAAAAAAACCUCCAUUUAAAGUAUUAUAUUUUAAAAAAACUUCCAUUUUACAUUCGAUUUUCAAAAAUCAUCAUAUUUUUACCAUUUUACUUUUGCUUUUCUUUCUAUAACAUCUUUGAAACAUCAAACUUCUCAUAUCUCAUCUAUGUAUUUUACUUUAAAAAAACUUCCAAAUAAAGCAUUCUACUUUCAAAAAUAUCCUAUUUUUAGCAAUGUAUAACAUCAUUGAAGCAUCAAUUUUUUCUUUUUCUCAUUUAUGCAUUUUACUUUGAAAAAACUUCUAGUUAAAGCAUUCUAAGUUCAAACUUAUGCACUUUACCUUUCUCUUUUUGUAACAUCAUUGAUAUAUCAAACUUAUUUUUUUCUUAUAUAUGCAUUUUACUUUGAAAAAUCUUGAAAUCAAACAUUCUACUUUCAAUUACUUCUUUUUUACAUUAAGCUUUCAAAAACCAUCAUUCUUUUAGCAUUGUACUUUCACUUUGCUUUCUAUAUCACCAUUGAAACAUCAAACCUUUGUUUUUCUCAUCUAUGCAUUUUAUUUUGAAAAAACUUCCAACUAAAUUUUUCUUUCAAAAUCUUCCAUUUUACAUUGAAUUUUAAAAAUCAUCCGAUUUUUAACAAUGUACUUUCAAUUUUCUUCCUGUAACAUCAAUUAAACGUGAAACCUCUCUUUUUCUCAUCUUUGCAUUUUAUUUUUAAAAAACUUCCAAUUAAAACAUUUUUUGUUGAAUAUCUUCAAUUUUACACAUUGGUUUUUCAAAAAUGAUCAGAUUUUUAACAUUGUACUUUAGAUUUUCUUUAUAUAACUUCAUUGAAACAUCAAACUUCUCAUUUCUCAUCUACGCAUUUUACUUUGAAAAAACUUCCAAUUAAAGCAUUCUCCUCUUAAAACUAUCAUGUUUUUAACAUUAUACUUUAACUUUUUCUUUCUGUAAAAUCAGUGAAACAUCAAACUUAUCUUUUUCUCAUCUAUGCACUUUACUUUGAAAGAAGUUCCUAAUAAAGCAUUCUAUUAUCAAAAACACCCAUUUGCAUUGAAUUUUUAAAAAUUGAACCCAUUUUUUGCAUUGUACUUUAACUUUUCUUUCUGUUUUUCUAAUCUAUGCAUUCAACUUUCAAAAACAUCCUGUAUACAUUAAAUUUUUAAAAAUCAUCCCAUUUUAUAACAUUCUACUUUCAGUUUCUUAUUACUGUUAACACAUUGCAUUUUCAAAAAUAUCCUAUUGUUAGCAUUGCACUCUCAUCUAUGCAUUUUACUUCGAAAAUACUUGCAGUUAAAGCAUUAUACUCUCAAAAACUUCCAUUUUAUAUUGAAUUUCUUAAAAUCAUCACAAAUUUAGCAUUAUACUUUACCUUUUUCUUUCUAUAACAUCAUUGAAACAUCAAACAUCUCUUUUUCUCAUUUAUGCAUUUUACAUUGAAAAAACUCCCAAUUAAAGCAUUCUAUAUUUCAAAAACUUUCAUUUUACAUUCAAUUUUCAAAAAUCAUCCAAUUUCUAGAAUUUUAAGUUACAUUUUUCUUUUUGUAACAUUUUUGAAACAUCUAAUAUCUUUUAUCUCUCAUCUAUGCAUUUUACUUUGAAAAAACUUACAAUUAAAACAUUGCACUCUCAAAAACUUCCAUUUUACAUUGAAUUUAUCAAAAUCAUCACAAAUUUAGCUUUAUACUUUAACAUUUUCUUUCUAUAACAUCAUUGUGACAUCAAACAUCUUUUUUUCUCAUUCAUGCAUUUUACAGUGAAAAAACUUUCAAAUAAAGCAUUCUACAUUCAAAAACAUCUUUUUUUCUCAUUCAAACAUCUUUCUUUCUAUAACAUCAUUGUGACAUCAAACAUUUUUCUUUUUGUAACGUCUUUGAAACAUCAAACAUCUUUUUUUCUCAUCUAUGCAUUUUACUUUGAAAAAAGUUACAAUUAAAGCAUUAUACUCUCAAAAAUUUUCAUUUCAAUCUGAAUUUUUAAAAAUUAUGGCUAUUUUUGGAUUAUACUUUAGCUUUUUCUUUCUAUAACAUCAUUGAAAGAUCAAACAUCUCUUUUUCUCAUUUAUGCAUUUUACAUUGAAGAACAUUCCAAUUAAAGUAUUCUACAAUAAAAUACUUCCAUUUUGCAUUCAAUUUUCAAAAAUCAUGCCAUUUUUUGAAUUGUACUUCACAUUUUUCUUUCGGAAUCAUUUUUGAAACAUCAAACAUCUUUUUUUCUCAUCUACACAUUUUUACUUUGAAAAAACCUACAAUUAACUCAUUCUAAAUUUAACUACUUCCAUUUUACAUUUAGUUUUCAAAAGUCGUCCCAUUUUUACGACUAUAGUUUAACUUUCCUUUCUGUUUCAUCUUUGAAACAUCAAACAUCUUUUUUUUUUUUCUCAUCUAUGCAUUUUACUUUGAAUAAACUUACAAUUAAAACAUUCGACUCUCAAAAACUUCCAUUUUGAAUUGAAUUUUUAAAAAUCAUCACAAAUUUAGCGUUUUACUUUACGUUUUUCUUUCUAUAACAUCAUUGAAUCAUCAAAAAUCUCUUUUUCUCGUUUAUGCAUUUUACAUGGAAAAAACUCAUUAAAGCAUUUUACAUUCAAAUACUUCCAUUUUACAUUUAAUUAUCACAAAUAUCGCAUUUUUAGAAUUGUACUUUUAUUUUAUUCUUUUUGUAACAUCUUUGAAACAUCAAACAUCUAUGUUUCUCAACUAUGCCUUUUACUUUGAAAAAAACUUACAGUUAAAACAUUCUACUUUCAAAAACCUCCAUUUUACAUUCAAUUUUCAAAAAUCAUCUCAUUUUUAGAAUUAUACUUUACAUUUUUCUUUCUGUCACAUCUUUGAAACAUCAAACAUCUUUUUUUUCUCAUCUAUGCAUUUCACUUUGAAUAAACUUACAAUUAAGGCAUUAUACUCUCUAAAACUUCCAUUUUACAGUGAAUUUUUAAAAAUCAUCACAAAUUAUACUUUACCUUUUUCUUUCUAUAACUUCAUUGAAACAUCAAACAUCUCUUUUUCUCAUUUAUGCAUUUAACAUUGAAAAAACUUCCAAUUAAAGCAUUCUACAUUAAAAUACUUUCAUUUUACAUUCAAAUUUCAAAAAUCAUCUCAUUUUUAGGACUAUAUUUUAACUUUCCUUUUUGUAACAUCAUUGACACAUCAACCAUCUUUUUUUUUUUUUUAUCAUCUAUGCAUUUUACGUUGAAUUUUUUUUCCAAUUAAUGCUUUCUACUUUCGAAAUCGUCCGUUUUACGUUGAAUUUUCAAAAAUCAUCCCAUUUUUAGCAUUGUACUUUCUUUAACAUAAUUGAAACAUCAAACAUUUUUUUUCUUAUCUAUGCAUUUUACUUUGAAAAAACUUGCUUUUUAAGCAUUCUACUUUGAUAAACUUCCAUUUUACAUUUAAUUUUCAAAAAACAUCAUAUUUUUAGCAUUGUACUUUAACUUUCUUUGUGUAACAUAAUUAAAACAUCAAACUUUUUUUUUUCUCAUCUAUUUGUUUUACUUUGAAAAAUCUUACAAUUAAAACAUUCUACUUUUAAAAACUUCCAUUUUACAAUGAGUUUUUUAAAAUCAUCACAUUUUUAUCAUUGUACUUUAACUCUUUCUUUAUUUAACAUCUUUAAAACAUCAAACUUCUCUUUUUAUUAUCUAUGUAUUUUACUUUGAAAAAAACUUACAAUUAAAGCAUUCUACUUUCAGAAACUUCCAUCUUACAUUCAAUUUUCAAAAACAUCUGAUUUUUAGCAUUGCACUUUAACUUUUUCUUUAUGUGACAUCAUUGAAAGAUCAAACGUUUCAUUUCUCAUCUAUGCAUUUUACUUUGAAAAAACUUUCAAUCAAAGCAUUUUAUUUUCAAAAAUUUCCAGUUUACAUUCAAAUUCGAUUUUCAAAAAUCAUCCAAUUAUUAGCAUUGUACUAUAAAUUUUUAUUUAUGUAACUUCAUUGAAACAUCAAACUUCUUUUUUUCUUAUUUAUGUAAUUUACCUUGAAAAAACUUCCAAUUAUAAUAUUAUACUUUCAAAAACUUUCCAUUUUACAUUGUGUUUUUUAAAAUCAUCACAUUUUUAGCAUUGUAAUUUGACUUUUUUUAUGUAACAUCAUUAAAUCAUCAAACCUCUCUUUUUCUCAUCUAUGCAUUUUACUUUGAAAAAGCUUCUAAUUAUAGCAUUCUACAUUAAAAAAUAUCCAAUUUUUACCAUUGUACUUCACCCUUUUCUCUAUAUAACAUUAUUGAAACAUCAAACUUUUUUUUUUCUCAGCUACACAUUUUACUUUAAAAAAACUUCGAAUUAAAGCAUUCUACUUGUAAAAAUUUCCACUUUUACAUUCAAUUUUGAAAAUUCAUCUCAUUUUGAACAUUGACUUUAACUUUCUCUUUAUGUAACAUCAUUGAAACAUCAAACGUCUCAUUUCUCAUCUAUGCAUUUUACUUUGAAAAAACUUUCAAUCAAAGCAUUUUAUUUUAAAAAAUUUCCAUUUUACAUUUGAUUUUCAAAAAAUUGUCCCAUUUUUAGGAUUGUAUUUUAACUUUUUCUCAUGUAAACGUUUUACUUUGAAAAAAACUUACAAUUAAAGCAAUUUACAUUCAAAAACUUCCAUCUUACAUUCAAUUUUCAUAAAUCAUCCUAUUUUUAGCAUUGCACUUUAAUUUUUUCUGUAUGUAACCUCAUUGAAACAUCAAACUUUUUUUUUUCUCAUCUAUGCAUUUUACUUUCUAAAAAAACUUACAAUUAAAGCAUUCUACUUUCAAAAAACUUCCAACUUAUAUUCAAUUUUCAAAACUUAUCCCUUUUUUUGCAUUGCAUUGUAAAUUUUUCUUUAUGUUAUUAUUAGCAUAUUGCAUUUUAAAAAUCAAUGAUAUUUUUAGCAUUAUAUGUUAGCGUUUUCUCAUAUAUGCAUUUUGGUUUGAAAAAUACUUAUAUGUAAAGCGUUGUACUUUCAAAAAUCAUCCAAUUUUUACCAUUGCACUUUAACUUUUUCUGUAUGUAACCUCAUUGAAACUUUAAACUUCUUUUUUUCAUCUAUGAAUUUUAAUUUAAAAAAACUUCCAUUUUACAUUCAAUUUUCAUAAAUCAUCUCAUUUUUAUCAUUGUACUUUAACUCUUUCUUUAUUUUACAUUUGAUUUUCAAAAAUCAUCUCAUUUUUAGCAUUGCACUUCAACUUUUUCUUUAUAUAUGCAUUUUAUUUUCAAAAACUUUCAUUUCACAUUCAAUUUUCAUUAAUCAUCCCAAUUUUAGCAUUGCAUUUCAACUUUUUAUUUUUGUAAUAUCUUUGAAACAUCAAACUUCUAAUUUCUCAUCUAUGCGUUUUAAUUUGAAAAAACUCCAAUCAAAAGCAUUUUAUUUACAAAAACAUCCAUUUUACAUUUGAUUUUUAAAAAUCAUCCCAUUUUUAGCAUUGUACUUUAACUUUUUCUUUAUGGAACAUCAUUGAAACAUCAAACUUCUUUUUUUCUCAUCUAUGCAUUUUGCUUUGAAAAAACUUCCAAUUCGAGCAUUCUACUUUCAAAAACUUUCAUUUUACGACGUAUUUUUAAAAAUAAUUCCAUUUUUAGCAUUGUACUUUCUGUAACAUCAUUGAAACAUUAAACAUCUUUCCGUAACUUCCAUUUUACAUUUAAUUUUAAAAAAAUAUCACAUUUUUAACAUUGGACUUUACCUUUUUCUUUCUGUAAUGUCAUUGAAACAUCAAACUUAUUUUUUUCUCAUCUAUGCGUUUUACUUUGAAAAAACUUCCAUUUAACAUUGUAUUUUCAAAAAUCAUCCAAUUUUUAACACCGUACUUUAACUUUUCUUUUUGUAAACAUCAUUGAAGCUAAUGCAUUUUAAAAAUUUCCAAUUAAAGCUUUCUACUUUCAAAAUCGUCCAUUUUACAUUGAAUUUUCAAAUAUCAUCCCACUUUUAGCAUUUUACUUUCUGUAACAUCUUUGGAACAUCAAACAUCUUUUUUUUUCUCAUCUAUGCAUUUUAUUUUGAAAAUACUUCCAAUUAAAGCAUUCUACUUUUAAAAACAUCCAUUUUUACAAUGAAUUUUUAAAAAUCAUCCCAUUUUUAGCAUUGUACUUUACCUUUUUCUUUUUGUAACAUAAAACAUUAUUUUUUCUUAUUUAUGCAAUUACUUUGAAAAAACUUCCAAUCAUUAUUAGUAUUGUUUUCAAAAACUUCCGUUUUGCACAAAAUUUUCAAAAAUCAUCAUAGAUUUAGCAUUAUUAGUAUUACACUUUAACAUUUUUUUUUAAUAUAAUAUCAUUGAAACAUCAAACUUCUCAUUUCUCAUCUAUGCAUUUUACUUUUAAAGAACUUCUAAUCAAAGGAAUUUAUUUUCAGAAACUUCCAUUUUACAUUCAAAUUUAAAAAAUAUCCCAUUAUUAGCAUUGUACUUUAACUUUUUCUUUAUGUAACAUCAUUGAAACAUCAAACUUCCCUUUUUCUCAUGUAUGCAUUUUACUUUGAAAAAACUUACAGUUACAGAAUUCUACUUUUAAAAACUUCCGUCUAUGUACUUUACCUUGAAAGAAACAUGAACCAAUCUAAAGAUAUAUUUAGAAAAUUUGAUAUGAGUGAACUUUUAGUGUAAGGAUAAGGAGCAUAACCUUAAUGUAGUAAUACAUUAGGAUUGAAAUGAUGACACGAAAAUAUGAAAUAUGAUCAUGUUCUAUGUUUUAAGGAUCCCAUGAUUUUGUUCUAUUAUUAUUGCAUGUGAUAUGAUCAAUGUUUUAAGGAUCACAUGGUUAUGUUUUAUCAUUAUGACAACAUAGAAAAUAGAAACUCUCUACAUGGUUUGAUUAAUGCAAGUGAAUCCCUUGAACAUGCCAUGCAACGUGUUAUUAAUGACAACCUUGAGUUGGCUGUGCAUCAAUUGAGAAGCUUCUGUUUUCUUAAUCCUGUUAUGGGUGUUCUGUUUUCUUAAUCUCUUUGCUUAUAAUUGUCUAGUAAGUGCUAAUGACUUAUUAAAAUAAAAGUUGUGAAUAUAUUUAUUUAAGUCUACAAGUUUUUGCAUUUAGAAUGUCAUUCAUCACAACUAUAGUUUUUCUAUUGUAUGAUAUCAUGCACAAGGGCAACAACAUAAUCUUUUAUCUCCCUUGCUGAAACACUGAAGAUGAGUGAUGCAAGAGUAUUAUUGUCUGCUCUUCACAAUGUCAUUCGCACUUUAUCCAAGGUUUGAUCUUGCCCCUAAUAAUUAUUCUCAUCUUAUUACAUCAUAUUUCUGCAUUUUUAAGACCUUAGUUUAUGAAUGUAAUCAUUAUUUCAUUCUUGUAACACCUUAGUUUCUAUGCUUUAUUGGGUUUGAUAUAUAUUUUUUUUUCUUUCGGUUACGGAAUACAAUUCUAGGUUGUUUGUGCCUUACUAAUUUUCAUGAACACAAACUAAUAUUUUACUCUUUUUAUAGAAUGUUGCCACCUGAAACCAAAUAAAUCAAUAUUUAUCCAAAUAGAAAGCAGUUUUGAUCUAAUUUCCUGGGUUUAUAUGCAACAAAAGAGAUUACACUUUCUGUUAUUUUCUAUUAAAUUACNUUGUUAUUAAAUUACAUUUUCAUUUUUUCCUUUAUUAAAGUUAUGCUUCCAAACUCUUAUUUAUUAAAACAUUUUAAUUUAAAAAAGUUCACUCAUUACAUUGAUUAUGUAUGACUUAUGAGUUAUGUUUUGUGGUAUGUGUUUGUAGAAGCUGUCACAUGUUUUAUGGGAAAGACAGAAGAAAUUUUCUUUUACCAAUUAUAUUCAUAUUGAAUCCAAGGUAUGUCAUCUCCUGCUGCUGUUAUUCUUUUUCAUUAAGUGAAUACCAAAAAUACCCCUCAACUAAAUACAUUCUCUUUAUUUGCUGAUUUUCCCAUAUUACCCUUAUCUAGACUAUAUCACGUAAGUGGAUGCUUAGAAAAUUUUCUCUACUGCAACUUCCAUUCUUUUUCAUAUUAAGGCAUUGUAUUUUGAAUAAUCUAUCAGUUAUAGCAUUUUAUAUUCACUUUUCCUGUUAUUAGCACAUAUGUGUUUUUACAAAUCAACCCAUUUUUGGCUUUGUACUUUUUUUAAUUUUUUUCUUAAUGUUAGAACAUUGAAACACCUAACUUUUUUUUUUCUUCUCAAUGCAUUUUACUUUAAAAUCUUCCAAUUAUAGCAUUCAAUUUUCAGUUUUCUUAUAAUUUGCACAUUGCAUUUUUAAAAUAAUCCCAUAUUUGGUAUUGUACGUUUACUUUGAAAGAACUUCCAAUUAAAGCAUUCCACUUUCAAUUUUCUUAUUAUUAGCACAUUGACUUUCCAAAAACAUCUCAUUAUUAACAUUUUAUUUUCACUUUUCUUUUUGUUGCAACAUUGAAACAUCAAACUUCUUUUUUCUCAUUUAUGCAUUUGACUUUGAAAAAUCUUGCAUUUAUAGCUUUCUGCUUCUCAUUUUCUUAUUAAUUAGCGCAUUGCAUUUUUUAUAAAUCAUCUCAUUUUUAGAGUUGUACUCACUUUCCUUUCUGUUAAACAUUGAAACAUUUGUGUAGUUUACUUUAAAAAAUCACCACUUAUAACAUUCUUAAGUUUUCUUAUUGUUAACAUAUUGUAUUUUAAAAAAUCAUCCUGUUUUUAGCAUUGCACUCUUUUUCCUUUCUGUUACAACAUUGAAAGUCAAACUUUUUUUUUUCAUAUAUGCAAUUUACGUUGAAAAAUCAUCCAUUUAUAUAGCAUUCUUCUUUCAGUUUUCCUAAAUAUAAACACUAGGCAUUUUUAAAAAUCAACUCAUUUUUAGCUUUGUGCUUUCACUUUCUUUUCUGUUACAACAUUAAAACCUUACACUUUUUUUCCCAUAUAUGCAGUUUACUUUGAAAAAUCAUCAUAUUAUAGCAUUCUACUUUCAAUUUUCUUAUAAUUAGCAUAUUGCAUUUUGAAAAAAUCAUCCUAUUUUUAGCAAUACUUUCUAUUUUCUUUCUUUACAACAUUGAAACAUGAAACUUCUUUUUUCUCAUGCAUUUUACUUUGAAUGAAACAUGAGCCAAUCAAGGGGAUGCUAAGAAUGUAGGGAUAAUAAAAAAAUGUAUUUUGAAAUUUUAUUUUGAGUGGGCACUUAGUGUAAGGAUCUGGAGCAUAGUCUUAUUGUAAGGAUACAUUAGGAUUGGAAUGAUGACAAGAAAGAUGAAAUAUGUAUUACAUGUGAAGUGACCAAUGUUUUAAGGAUCCCAUGAUUAUGUUCUAUCAUAAUAAUAACAUAGCAAAGAGUUUAAUGUCAACAAGAUUGGAUCUUUGUACAAAUAAGUACCAUUUGAAUAUUUAAGAAUCAUAUAUGUAUAUGUGCUCUUGCAUCAUAAAGUGAUUUUAGCAGGUGGAUUGAGGAUUUGAAGGAUAUGAAUGGAUGAUACACUUAAGAUUAUUGAUUAAGUCGAGGAUUAUGUAAGUCGUGGGUGUCAUAAUUAAACAAGAGAAGUAUGACUCUUCUACUUUGAUGUUAAAUACUUCAUAGAAAAAGUAUGAUCUAGAUUUAGUCGUAAUGACAUGAGAUAUAAUGAUCACUUUAGGUAUGAAUGAUAAUGCACGAUACAUGUAGGGACACUUGAAAAAAAUCAUAUCAUUUUUAGCAUUUUACUAUUGCUUGUAUUUCUAUAAUAACAUUGAAACAUGAACUCAAAUUUUUCUCAUCUAUGCAUUUUACUUCGAAAGGUUUUCUAAAUAUAGCAUCCUACUUUCUGAUUUCA
RNAcentral lists this long non-coding RNA (11570 nucleotides) under Lactuca sativa (garden lettuce). Its description in RNAcentral is "long non-coding RNA (LSAT_LNC003339)". Lineage: Eukaryota; Viridiplantae; Streptophyta; Magnoliopsida; Asterales; Asteraceae. The record is from RNAcentral.